Passer domesticus (house sparrow) is the source of this 788-nucleotide long non-coding RNA. RefSeq lists it as uncharacterized. The transcript has 3 exons. The record is from RefSeq and is a predicted model, not a curated record. Lineage: Eukaryota; Metazoa; Chordata; Aves; Passeriformes; Passeridae.
UCCAGGGUUCAAAGCCAAAAACUAUUUCUUCCAGUCCAUUGUCAUACUCCGGGCGGCACCCGAACGCCGGUGGUAUCCACAGCUGCGGGGAAAGAACGCCAGGCCAAUGUUAAUCACCAGCUGUACAAGUCAAUAGCCUUAAUGACUGUGACUCACCGCGCUGCAAACUGGUUUCAGGAGUCCCUAAAAAAUCCCUCCCUGUUGCUACUGAGGAAGGCUGGGAGAGGGAAGGAAGAGGGUUUCAGCUUCUGCUGUUGCUACAGUUUUUGGAGCGUUCCUGAAAGGAGCCUCCCAUAUUCUACAUUUAAAUGAACUUUGUUCUCCAAAAGCAUAUUCACUUCUUCCAGAAGUAAUUUUUUCUGCCUACAAACUAUAGAACCAUGCAAUUUUAAUAUACUUAUCAGACUUGAAAGGAUGGGAAGAUUUUGGGUAUUAACUUGUGAACUACAUUCAAAAUGUCUUACCGAAAGGUUGCAGAGGAAUAAAAAUGCAGCGAUGUUCUUCAGAAUUCUCCUCUUGUUGUUAGUAACUGAGUUGCUGCUGUAAAAUGAGAAAUCUGAGGCUGAGUGCAUGACCAAACUACUGUCCUGACUCGUUUCUUCUCUGGCAACACCAGCACCAUCAUUUUCUCUCGCAGAGAUGCUGCCUUUAAACAGACAGGAGAUGAAGGAACAAAGUUGCAAGACAUGGAGAGUGGAUAUUACAAGAAUGUGAAAUUAAGAUUACUUCAACCAACUCAGAAUUUCACCAUCAGGGAAAACAUAGAUGGGGGAAAUAAGAUUACAUCA